UGGGGAAUAUUGGACAAUGGGCGAAAGCCUGAUCCAGCAAUGCCGCGUGAGUGAUGAAGGCCUUAAUCGGUUGUAAAGCUCUUUUGUUAGGGAUGAUAAUGACAGUACCUAAAGAAUAAGCACCGACUAAUUACGUGCCAGCAGUCGCGGUAAUACGUAAGGUGCUAGUGUUAUUCGGAAUUACUGGGUGUAAAGGGCGCGUAGGCGGAUACAUAAGUCAUAUGUUUAAUUUUUGGGCUUAACCUGAAGUCUGCAUGUGAUACUGUGUGUCUAGAGUUUGACGGAAGAUGAUAGAAUUUCUGGUGUAGGGGUUAAAUCCGUAGAUAUCAGAAGGAAUACCGAAAGCGAAAGCAGUCAUCUAUAUCAAUACUGACGCUGAGGCGCGAAAGCGUGGGGAGCA
Molecule: ribosomal RNA, 400 nt
Filed under: uncultured bacterium
Lineage: Bacteria
Description: bacterial SSU rRNA
Rfam family: Bacterial small subunit ribosomal RNA
Source: RNAcentral